CCAAGCCGGAGGCUCCCACUAUGAGCCCGGAGUCUGAGCAGCCAGAUGACACAGGAGGACCCUUGGAAAUGUGAAACUGCACAAGAGCACAUGAUUUGAACGCAGCAUGUAAUAACAGCUAACGUUUAUCCAGUGUUUCCUCUCAGCCAGGCGAUAUUCCAAGAGCCUUAAGUAUUUUUUUUCCAGUAGGAACUCACCUACCAUGUCCUGCAAAGAAUGAAUCUCUUCCUCAGUGGCAGCUCUUGGUCCUCAUUUCUAUUUAGAAGUUCCUUGACUUUUAAUCUCUAUCUGCAUUUUCUGUUAGCCAGCUGCCACCCAAGAUUGGGCUAAACCCUCUGCCCCUUGUUAAAAAGGAAAAAGAAGAAAAAGAGAACACACGCAGCACAAGCUUCUAAUACGUAUAUUCACAACUUCUCUGCAAGGCGCUUAAGAAAACUAAAAGGUUACCAGAAAAUACUAUGCAAGAUGCCAAGACAGAGGGGCAAUUAAUAAUCCUACCCAGUUGUGACACCUUUCAACCAUGGCAAUGACCAGCAUGAUAAUAUAGCCAUAAAGGUGUGAAUGCCUUUCUUUACGGAUAACGGAGACCGUCACAGGAAUGCACAGCUGGACACAGUGCAGACAUCAACAGAUCCUGGGCAGCCACACCCCAAUGGCUAUAUCUACGUUACAACUCCUGCAUUUAUGACUCUGCAAACAUCACAGAAGAGGGGAUAGGAAGAUUGUAAGAAUGAAACACCAGGAAGUUGGUUGUGAAACAGUCUUUCCUAGAAAUGUCUGCAUAAGCAAAAUCUGAACAAUGGCCUAUCAGUAGACGUGCUGACGUGGAAAGGAAAACCCUCACAGGAUCACAUCCGUGGAUAAGGCAACUGAUGACUGCUGGGAAUGGGAGCGUUCUCCUCUAUCAGGGAUGAGCGCUCUAAUUAGCUAUCCAUACAAACAGUAUCACUGAAACUGUAUAUACACAAACAGCAGAAUGGACUCCACAGGUUGUGUUUUUUAUAUUUGUGUAUUAAAAACAUGUAGCAAUAAUAAUGGGAUAAGAAGAGGCUAUCAAUUUGAGAGUUGUGGCAACUUGGAAUUAUCUAGAGGAAGA
Non-coding RNA from Arvicanthis niloticus (Nile rat), 1096 nucleotides. NCBI's taxonomy places the organism in Eukaryota, Metazoa, Chordata, Mammalia, Rodentia, Muridae. The record is from RefSeq and is a predicted model, not a curated record.